This 110-nucleotide non-coding RNA is filed under the name Porphyromonas gingivicanis. RNAcentral describes it as "TPP sequence". It matches the Rfam family "TPP riboswitch aptamer (THI element)". From Rfam's summary of the family: Vitamin B(1) in its active form thiamin pyrophosphate (TPP) is an essential coenzyme that is synthesised by coupling of pyrimidine and thiazole moieties in bacteria. The previously detected thiamin-regulatory element, thi box was extended, resulting in a new, highly conserved RNA secondary structure, the THI element, which is widely distributed in eubacteria and also occurs in some archaea. Analysis of operon structures identified a large number of new candidate thiamin-regulated genes, mostly transporters, in various prokaryotic organisms. The record is from Rfam by way of RNAcentral. Lineage: Bacteria; Pseudomonadati; Bacteroidota; Bacteroidia; Bacteroidales; Porphyromonadaceae.
AAUCUUUCUUGGGGGUGCCAAUAAGAGUUGUAAUAUCUCCUUUUUGGCUGAGAGGAUACCCGUGACCUGAUCCAGAUAAUACUGGCGUAGGCAAAGAAACAAUCUUUGAA